UACGUAGGGUGCGAGCGCUGUCCGGAAUUAUUGGGCGUAAAGAGCUCGUAGGCGGCUUGUCGCGUCGGAUGUGAAAGCCCGGGGCUUAACUCCGGGUCUGCAUUCGAUACGGGCAGGCUAGAGUUCGGUAGGGGAGAUCGGAAUUCCUGGUGUAGCGGUGAAAUGCGCAGAUAUCAGGAGGAACACCGGUGGCGAAGGCGGAUCUCUGGGCCGAUACUGACGCUGAGGAGCGAAAGCGUGGGGAGCGAACAGG
RNAcentral lists this ribosomal RNA (253 nucleotides) under uncultured bacterium. RNAcentral describes it as "partial 16S ribosomal RNA". It matches the Rfam family "Bacterial small subunit ribosomal RNA", at positions 524 to 776 of the family's 1533-position model. The record is from RNAcentral.